Molecule: transfer RNA, 63 nt
Filed under: Allognosta vagans
Lineage: Eukaryota; Metazoa; Arthropoda; Insecta; Diptera; Stratiomyidae
Description: tRNA-Ala
Source: RNAcentral
AGGGUUGUAGUUAAUAAUAACAUUUGAUUUGCAUUCAAAAAGUACUAAUUUAUAGUCUUCCUU